This 498-nucleotide ribosomal RNA is filed under the name uncultured bacterium. RNAcentral's name for it is "partial 16S ribosomal RNA". It matches the Rfam family "Bacterial small subunit ribosomal RNA", at positions 30 to 523 of the family's 1533-position model. The record is from RNAcentral.
AUUGAACGCUGGCGGCAUGCCUUACACAUGCAAGUCGAACGGUAACAGGUCUUCGGAUGCUGACGAGUGGCGAACGGGUGAGUAAUACAUCGGAACGUGCCUAGUAGUGGGGGAUAACUACUCGAAAGAGUGGCUAAUACCGCAUGAGAUCUACGGAUGAAAGCAGGGGAUCGCAAGACCUUGUGCUACUAGAGCGGCCGAUGGCAGAUUAGGUAGUUGGUGGGAUAAAAGCUUACCAAGCCGACGAUCUGUAGCUGGUCUGAGAGGACGAUCAGCCACACUGGGACUGAGGCACGGCCCAGACUCCUACGGGAGGCAGCAGUGGGGAAUUUUGGACAAUGGGCGCAAGCCUGAUCCAGCAAUGCCGCGUGCAGGAUGAAGGCCUUCGGGUUGUAAACUGCUUUUGUACGGAACGAAAAGCCCCGGGUUAAUACCCUGGGGUCAUGACGGUACCGUAAGAAUAAGCACCGGCUAACUCCGAGCCAGCAGCCGCCGUAA